This is a non-coding RNA of Salmo salar (Atlantic salmon), 82 nucleotides long. NCBI's taxonomy places the organism in Eukaryota, Metazoa, Chordata, Actinopteri, Salmoniformes, Salmonidae. The record is from Rfam.
GAUGAGGUGGCCGAGUGGUUAAGGCGAUGGAUUACUAAUACAUUGUGCUCUGCACGCAUGGGUUCAAAUCCUAUCCUCGUUG